This 293-nucleotide small nuclear RNA is filed under the name Echinops telfairi (small Madagascar hedgehog). RNAcentral's name for it is "7SK RNA (ENSETEG00000024045.1)". It matches the Rfam family "7SK RNA", at positions 1 to 280 of the family's 331-position model. From Rfam's summary of the family: 7SK was discovered as an abundant small nuclear RNA in the mid-70s but a possible function has only recently been suggested. Two independent studies have found that 7SK RNA binds the CDK9/cyclin T complex (known as elongation factor P-TEFb). P-TEFb activates transcription by phosphorylating the C-terminal domain of RNA polymerase II. Lineage: Eukaryota; Metazoa; Chordata; Mammalia; Afrosoricida; Tenrecidae. The record is from RNAcentral.
GGAUGAGGCCGCUGGCUUCCAGCCUCCAUCUGGCUGCAACAUUGGUCACCCCAUGGAUCGCCAAGUUUGAGUCAAUUGACCUGGCUGGCUAGACAGGUGUCCCCUGCAUCCCUCACCGCUCCACAUGCGUCCCUCCCGAAGCUGCGUGCUCAGCUGGAGAGGAUGGCCUUCCUGAUAGAAGGAGGGCCGUCCUUCCGUCCAGGGUAUACAAGUAGCUGUGCUCCCCUGCUGGAACUGCCAAACAAGCUCUCAAGAUGUCCAGCCUCGGAAACGCCCCGGGGCAGGCCUACUGU